GGGGGUGUUCCCGAGUGGCCAAAGGGGACGGGCUGUAAACCCGUUGGCUCUGCCUUCGGAGGUUCGAAUCCUCCCGCCCCCA
This 82-nucleotide transfer RNA is filed under the name Gaiellaceae bacterium. Its description in RNAcentral is "tRNA-Tyr". It matches the Rfam family "tRNA". Rfam says of the family: Transfer RNA (tRNA) molecules are approximately 80 nucleotides in length. Lineage: Bacteria; Bacillati; Actinomycetota; Thermoleophilia; Gaiellales; Gaiellaceae. RNAcentral also lists the same sequence under 2 other names. The record is from RNAcentral.